This 585-nucleotide ribosomal RNA is filed under the name Triticum aestivum (bread wheat). Its description in RNAcentral is "partial small subunit ribosomal RNA". The record is from RNAcentral. Lineage: Eukaryota; Viridiplantae; Streptophyta; Magnoliopsida; Poales; Poaceae.
AUGGAAGCGCCCACAACAGAACACUGGGCGGCGGUGAAACAGGUGCCGAGGUACGUUGCAGGCACCCUGAACUUUGGAUGCAGAUACAAGAAAGGAGAAGUGGAACCUCAGCUGGUUGGGUACAGUGACGCAGACUUCGUCGGAGAUGUUGAUGACAGAAAGAGCACAUCCGGGACUGUGUUCACCUUCGGUGGAAGCGCGAUCAGUUGGCAAUCCCAGAAGCAGAAGGUGGUCGCUCUUUCAUCCUACGAGGCCGAGUACAUGGCGGCAACUGCAGCCGCGUGCACUGGCGUCUGGCUCCGGCGAAUGCUUGGCGAUCUACUAGGUGAUCCGGGAACGGCAACUCCACUUCUCAUUGACAACAAGUCGGCAAUCCAACUCUGCAAGAACCCUGUCUUCCACGACAGGACCAAGCACAUCGAGACGCGGUUUCAUUUCAUCCGCGAGUGCGUUCAAGAUGGGAGGAUAGCCGUCGACCACAUCCACACCGGCGAGCAGCUGGCAGAUAUCUUGACCAAGGCACUGCCUCGAGUGAAGUUUCAGGAGCUGCGGGCGAAGCUGGGCGUGAUCAACAUCAGCAACUGA